ACAGAGCUAGCGCCUCUCUGGGUGUCCGUGCCAGUGCUGCGCGGGAAGGCACCACCACCACAGCCGCCGCCGCUGGCCAGGGUGCUGGACAAGACGGGCCCGUCGGCCACCUCGCCAGCUCAGGCACCCGCUGCAGCCGUCGCUGUCUCCUCCCAGACCGGUCCCCAUGGAGGAGAUGGAAGAGGAGUUGAAAUGCCCCGUGUGCGGCUCCUUCUAUCGGGAGCCCAUCAUCCUGCCCUGCUCUCACAAUUUGUGUCAGGCGUGCGCCCGCAACAUCCUGGUGCAGACCCCAGAGUCUGAAUCCCCCCAGAGCCAUCGGGCCGCGGGCUCCGGGGUCUCCGACUAUGACUAUCUGGACCUGGACAAGAUGAGCCUAUACAGCGAGGCGGACAGCGGCUAUGGCUCCUACGGGGGGUUCGCCAGCGCCCCCACUACCCCGUGCCAGAAGUCCCCCAACGGCGUCCGCGUGUUUCCCCCGGCUAUGCCGCCACCGGCCACCCACUUGUCACCGGCCCUGGCCCCGGUGCCCCGCAACUCCUGUAUCACCUGCCCCCAGUGUCACCGCAGCCUCAUCCUGGAUGACCGGGGGCUCCGCGGCUUCCCCAAGAAUCGCGUACUGGAAGGGGUAAUUGACCGCUACCAGCAGAGCAAAGCCGCGGCCCUCAAGUGCCAGCUCUGCGAGAAGGCGCCCAAGGAAGCCACCGUCAUGUGCGAACAGUGCGAUGUCUUCUACUGCGAUCCGUGCCGCCUGCGCUGCCACCCGCCCCGGGGGCCCCUAGCCAAGCACCGCCUGGUGCCCCCGGCCCAGGGUCGUGUGAGCCGGAGGCUGAGCCCACGCAAGGUCUCCACCUGCACAGACCACGAGCUGGAGAACCACAGCAUGUACUGCGUGCAAUGCAAGAUGCCCGUGUGCUACCAGUGCUUGGAGGAGGGCAAACACUCCAGCCACGAAGUCAAGGCUCUGGGGGCCAUGUGGAAACUACAUAAGAGCCAGCUCUCCCAGGCGCUGAACGGACUGUCAGACAGGGCCAAAGAAGCCAAGGAGUUUCUGGUACAGCUGCGCAACAUGGUCCAGCAGAUCCAGGAGAACAGUGUGGAGUUUGAAGCCUGUCUGGUGGCCCAAUGUGAUGCCCUCAUCGAUGCCCUCAACAGAAGAAAAGCCCAGCUGCUGGCCCGCGUCAACAAGGAGCAUGAGCACAAGCUGAAGGUGGUUCGAGAUCAGAUCUCUCACUGCACAGUGAAAUUGCGCCAGACCACAGGUCUCAUGGAGUACUGCUUGGAGGUGAUUAAGGAAAAUGAUCCUAGUGGUUUUUUGCAGAUUUCUGACGCCCUCAUAAGAAGAGUGCACCUGACUGAGGAUCAGUGGGGUAAAGGCACACUCACUCCAAGGAUGACCACGGACUUUGACUUGAGUCUGGACAACAGCCCUCUGCUGCAAUCCAUCCACCAGCUGGAUUUCGUGCAAGUGAAAGCUUCCUCUCCAGUCCCAGCAACCCCUAUCCUACAGCUGGAGGAAUGUUGUACCCACAACAACAGCGCUACGUUGUCCUGGAAACAGCCACCUCUGUCCACGGUGCCCGCCGAUGGAUACAUUCUGGAGCUGGAUGAUGGCAACGGUGGUCAAUUCCGGGAGGUGUAUGUGGGGAAGGAGACAAUGUGCACUGUGGAUGGUCUUCACUUCAACAGCACAUACAACGCUCGGGUCAAGGCCUUCAACAAAACAGGAGUCAGCCCGUACAGCAAGACCCUGGUCCUCCAAACGUCUGAGGUUUGCAUUGAUCUUACAUUUAGACACAGAUUCAGAAGAACAGACCCUCCCUUUUCCAGUGCCUUCGGAAAGAUUGCCGCUCCGUAGAAUGAGUCCUUUCUCCUCCACCCUUAAUCUACAACCCAGCUUCCCCGGGAGAUCCUACUUUGAUUUCCGAUCCUCACCCCACCAGCUGAGCUUGCAUUCCUCUUUACAGUCUCUCAAUGCACCGGGAUGCAAUUUUGAGACACAAUCUGCACCUUACUCUCAAUUAGUUGACAUUAAAAAGCUGUUGGCAGGACUCUAGCUCCUAGCCUCCCCGCCUCAGGGGUUACACAGGCAUCUUAGCGCAUCCCCUCUCCCUUUAUGUCUCUGGUGCACUGUUCUGCCAGUCACCAGGUGAAGGGACUUGCACCUUCCAAAAUCGAUGCCACUUCACUCCCGGAUCACCUGGUUGGGAGUGCAGUCUGAGCCAGUGGCCUGGUUUGCUUUCGACCCUGGCUCGGCGCACUCGGACAUCAUCCUCUCCAAUGACAACCUGACAGUGACCUGUAGUAGCUAUGAUGACCGGGUGGUGCUAGGGAAGACUGGCUUCUCCAAGGGCAUCCACUACUGGGAGCUCACGGUAGAUCGCUAUGACAACCACCCUGAUCCUGCCUUUGGUGUGGCUCGCAUGGACGUGAUGAAGGAUGUGAUGUUAGGAAAAGACGACAAAGCUUGGGCAAUGUAUGUGGACAAUAACCGGAGCUGGUUCAUGCACAACAACUCGCACACCAACAGAACUGAGGGAGGGAUCACAAAAGGGGCCACAAUUGGGGUCCUCCUCGACUUAAAUAGAAAAAACUUGACAUUUUUUAUCAACGAUGAACAACAAGGUCCCAUAGCAUUUGAUAACGUGGAGGGCCUCUUCUUCCCUGCGGUCAGCCUGAACAGGAACGUGCAGGUCACGCUGCACACCGGGCUCCCAGUCCCCGACUUCUACUCCAGCAGAGCAUCAAUAGCCUAAGGAUGUGCCGUGGAGGCGCCAGCUGCCUGUUCUUACCUCCGCCUGCGAGAGCCACAGCAAGGAGCUCAGCCAGCCGUGGUGGGGUGCAGAGUUGGCAGGAGUGGGAGAAGGAGGAGAGAAAAGCUGGUCCUCUGCAGUCUUUACACCCACAGCUCUGCCCUUUUCCCUUUCAACCUCUCCUCCGCUGUCAUGCCUGCUUCCGCUUCCAUGUCCAACAAUUCUAACCAACAAAGGACCUAGACAGCCCACCAAGUCACUUGGUUCCCACUCCCAGAUUUUGCUUUUAUUUAACUUAAUUUUUUAUGUAGGUGAGUUAUAUUUUCUUUCUUUUCUGAUCAGGUUAUUGGUGACUUACUGGACUGGCACCGCCAGGAGAAAAUUCUCCUGCUAACUUUUUUUCUUAAGCUUUCUGUCAAACAAUGAGGUUGUAGGGGGAGGUAGGGAAGAAUGAGCUGAAUUUGUAGCAUACAGCUUACCUGCUAGAAUGUUCUUACCCUCUUACCUCUCCUGUAGCGUUAGCUCUGCAGAGCUAAGCUUUGGGAGAAUGAAUCUAUCACUGAGAAGUUUUACUACUCAUUGAAGCACAAAAAUAUCCGCUACACAGGUUCACAUCAGGGUAGGAUCGUUAGGAUGGCUCUAUAAUUAGGAUAGGCCAGAACCCUGGCCACUGUAUAAAAUUGGAAAGUCUCUAAGACACAGGCAAACCAGGGGACUUAAUGAUUUGGUUCGUUUAUUUAAUAAAAGCUUUUAAUUGAGAACCUACUAUUGACCAGGCACUGUUCAAGACACUAGAACAUUAUGUUCUAGACACUGUGGGGACACAGUGGUGAACAGACAGGCAUGGUCUCUGCCCUUCGGAGCUUAUAUUCCAGUAGGAGAAAAAGCAAAAAUAAAAUAAUUAUAAAUGGUCAUAUGUACUAGAAAGGAAAUGGGCAAGGGUCAAAGAGACUCAUGGGCAAGAUCUUUCAGGCUUCCUAGAAUGAUGCUAAAAAUCCACACAUUCUGGCCAUAGCACCAGAAAUGUACCAACUCAAUGCCUUUUCAGCUGCACUAUUUAAUUAUGGUACCUGCUGCCACUCAUCACAGAGCCCUUCUUGGUAGAAAUGAUGUCAGCAUUCUUAUUUGCUGAUGCUGCUAUGAUACCACGCCUUAAAAAUUGACAGUUGAAAAAAAAAAGAGUGACCAGAGGGCAAAGGACCCAUUCUCAGUAAUGGGAGAUCUUGAGUUGCAGUCCACAGCAUUCACAUUCUCAGGAUAAACAUGCUUGUCUCCAUAUAUACUAUCUGUGCCUGUUAUGAAUGAAAAAUCCAUCCACUCUGCUGCCAUUCACAGCCUAAUUUUCUGGAGUAGUCCAAACAAUGUUUGGAAAAACAUGGGACUGUAUGUCAUUACUAUGACUGAUAGCAGAAUAAUAAUGCAUCUUACUUCUAUAUAGAGAUAGACUUACAUAGGUUACCCUUGAAAUUCAUUAGUUUGUCAUAAAGUUUUAGGAAAGGUAGGACCCGGAAAGAAGUUCUAAUUAGUUGUCUAAAUAUUUUUCAGUGAGCCAAGAAAUUCACCAUGAAAAAACAAGAAUAACAAAUAGAAGGGAAGAGAUAGGAUGGGAAAGCUAACAAAUUAAAGUUUUGGCAAAAAGGAAUAUAUGUAAAUAGCUAAUUAUUUACUUUUGUGCUUACUUUAUUUAGAUUAUUUCUAUCAGUUACAAUCUUUUUCUAGUUAAGUGUACCUAAUUUAUGGAAUGGGUGCUAUCCUGUUUAUGUGUGUCUUGGUUUUUCUUGGCUACAGAAAAACUGUUGCAGGGCAACACUAGUUUGAUAUUUGAUUUACUCUCCAAUGAGACUCAAUGGCUGGGCCGUGGUAGACUCAUAGUUCCUCUUGUUCUUUAUUAAAUUCAUCCUGCUAAUUAGAUUUCUAGUGACUUGUAACAUGUAGUUUACACUGAAUUGCAAUUACAGAUGCAUACAACUACUAUACUAGAAAAAAUUGUCAUUUCUGAUGUGCCAAUAAAUGAUUUUUAUGAGAGAA
Homo sapiens (human) is the source of this 4778-nucleotide RNA transcript. It is a transcript of the gene named tripartite motif containing 9, with no coding region annotated. The record is from RefSeq and is marked reviewed. Lineage: Eukaryota; Metazoa; Chordata; Mammalia; Primates; Hominidae. The transcript has 14 exons.